CCUACGGGGGGCAGCAGUGGGGAAUAUUGGACAAUGGGCGAAAGCCUGAUCCAGCCAUGCCGCGUGUGUGAAGAAGGCCUUCGGGUUGUAAAGCACUUUCAGUGGGGAAGAAAGCCUUGGGGCUAAUACCCUCGAGGAAGGACAUCACCCACAGAAGAAGCACCGGCUAACUCCGUGCCAGCAGCCGCGGUAAUACGGAGGGUGCGUGCGUUAAUCGGAAUUACUGGGCGUAAAGCGCGCGUAGGCGGUCUGAUAAGCCGGUUGUGAAAGCCCCGGGCUCAACCUGGGAACGGCAUCCGGAACUGGCAGGCUAGAGUGCAGGAGAGGAAGGUAGAAUUCCCGGUGUAGCGGUGAAAUGCGUAGAGAUCGGGAGGAAUACCAGUGGCGAAGGCGGCCUUCUGGACUGACACUGACGCUGAGGUGCGAAAGCGUGGGUAGCAAACAGGAUUAGAUACCCUUGUAGUC
RNAcentral lists this ribosomal RNA (465 nucleotides) under Vreelandella stevensii. Its description in RNAcentral is "partial 16S ribosomal RNA". It matches the Rfam family "Bacterial small subunit ribosomal RNA", at positions 338 to 795 of the family's 1533-position model. Lineage: Bacteria; Pseudomonadati; Pseudomonadota; Gammaproteobacteria; Oceanospirillales; Halomonadaceae. The record is from RNAcentral.